CCUACGGGUGGCUGCAGUAGGGAAUUUUCGGCAAUGGGGGGAACCCUGACCGAGCAACGCCGCGUGAACGAAGAAGUUAUUCGUAAUGUAAAGUUCUUUUAACAGGGAAGAAAGAGAAAUUUGACGGUAACUGAUGAAUAAGCCCCGGCUAACUACGUGCCAGCAGCCGCGGUAAUCCGUAGGGAGCGAGCGUUAUCCGGAAUUGUUGGGCGUAAAGGGUGCGUAGAUGGGGUAGUAAGUCUUUUGUAAAAAUGCUGGGCUCAACCUAGUAGUGCAAACGGUACUGGAAAGCUAGAGUAUGACAGAGGCAGGUGGAACUAGGUGUGUAGCGGUAAAAUGCGUAAAUAUAUGUAAGAACACCAGUUGCGAAGGCGGCUUGCUGGGUCGAUACUGACAUUGAGGCACGAAAGCGUGGGGAGCGAACAGGAUUAGAUACCCGGGUAGUC
RNAcentral lists this ribosomal RNA (446 nucleotides) under uncultured bacterium. RNAcentral describes it as "partial 16S ribosomal RNA". It matches the Rfam family "Bacterial small subunit ribosomal RNA", at positions 338 to 795 of the family's 1533-position model. The record is from RNAcentral.